RNAcentral lists this ribosomal RNA (254 nucleotides) under uncultured bacterium. RNAcentral describes it as "partial 16S ribosomal RNA". It matches the Rfam family "Bacterial small subunit ribosomal RNA", at positions 524 to 776 of the family's 1533-position model. The record is from RNAcentral.
GACGUAGGGUGCGAGCGUUGUCCGGAUUUAUUGGGCGUAAAGAGCUCGUAGGCGGUCUGCCGCGUCGAUCGUGAAAACUUGGGGCUUAACCCUGAGCUUGCGGUCGAUACGGGCAUGACUGGAGUUCGGCAGGGGAGACUGGAAUUCCUGGUGUAGCGGUGAAAUGCGCAGAUAUCAGGAGGAACACCGGUGGCGAAGGCGGGUCUCUGGGCCGAUACUGACGCUGAGGAGCGAAAGCGUGGGGAGCGAACAGG